CCCGGUGGUUAUAGAGAGGGGGAAACACCUGUUCCCAUUCCGAACACAGAAGUUAAGCCCCUCAUCGCCGAUGAUACUGCACCGGUAACGGUGUGGGAAAGUAGGUCGCUGCCGGGA
This 117-nucleotide ribosomal RNA is filed under the name Spirochaetota bacterium. The record is from RNAcentral. Lineage: Bacteria; Pseudomonadati; Spirochaetota. RNAcentral also lists the same sequence under 1 other name.